This 353-nucleotide ribosomal RNA is filed under the name Proteomonas sulcata. RNAcentral describes it as "partial Bacterial large subunit ribosomal RNA". It matches the Rfam family "Bacterial large subunit ribosomal RNA", at positions 1420 to 1791 of the family's 2925-position model. The record is from RNAcentral. Lineage: Eukaryota; Cryptophyceae; Pyrenomonadales; Geminigeraceae.
GGCAAACGGGUUAAUAUUCCUGUACUUCCUUAGCUGCGAUGGGAGGACGGAGAAGGUUAGACCAGCCACCUGUUGGAUGGUGGUUUAAGCGCAAAGGAGUGCACUCUAGGCAAAUCCGGAGUGAUUAUCUGAAGCGUGAUGACGAGUCUCUUUUGAGACGAAGUGGUUGAUACCAUGCUUCCAAGAAAAGUCCCUAAGCUUCAGGCAAAAGGAAUCCGUACCCCAAACCGACACAGGUGGGCGAGGAGAGUAUCCUAAGGCGUUUGAGAGAACUCGGGAGAAGGAACUCGGCAAAUUUGAACCGUAACUUCGGGAUAAGGUUCGCCUACGCAAGUAGGCCGCAGUGAAGAGGG